CACUGGUCCUUUGUGUACUGCCCGCCCUGCAUGUGUCUGGGCUCCCCUGGCCAGUCCGUUUUUUUGUCUCUGAUGGUUAAUAAGCUUUGAGCCUAGUAGUCAAAUGUGGUGGGAACGGGGACAAGACGAGGGUCCUUAGUGAAGGUGUUUGUUGUUAAAUAGAACAAUUCAGCUGUCUCUUUAGAAAACUUGACAAAAGGAAAUGCUCCCUGCUGAAAAUUUUCUUAGCCUGUUGCACAAAAGAUGAAGUUUGUUUAAGAAAUUGCUGCUAAAGAAAGCGUCAACCCAUUAAGCAGGAUCUGGCCUACCUUAGAAUGAAGAAAUCUGCUGCAGAAUUCCUCUCUCCCUUUUAAAAUAUCUUGGAGACUCCCAGGAUCAUCACAAAGGCUUCUGAAAUCCACUGUGGCAAACAUGUGUUCUCAGAAAUCUCCAAAACCCAGUGAAGCUCUGCAAUCAUCACGCUUCCUUUUCCUUAUACAACAGAAGAGAUGUGAACAGCCAUCGGUUACUGCAUCCUGCCAACCACAAAGGUAAGCCACAGGGACAGUCACCUCCAUCUUCUACCCCCUUGCCACUGAUUCUU
Molecule: non-coding RNA, 583 nt
Organism: Ictidomys tridecemlineatus (thirteen-lined ground squirrel)
Lineage: Eukaryota; Metazoa; Chordata; Mammalia; Rodentia; Sciuridae
Source: RefSeq, a predicted model, not a curated record